GUUCGUAACGUCAUCGUGAUCAUCUAAAAUAUAAGUUAGAAGUCAAUUACAGUUUUCUGUGUUUUAUGUGCUAUUCAAGUCUUGUAUUAUGUUGUCCCUAAAACUUAGUAAAAGAUUCAUUUUGAAGUGUUGCAGGAAAUUUGUUUCAAGCUUCAAGCCUGAACAAUCUAGAAAACUAGGGCGUUCUCUCGAUACGAUUGAGUUUGUUUGGCGUUGUGUUCUAAGAAAGCAACUACAGAGACUCUUGGCUGUGAUUCUGGGUUGCAUGUCAGCUGCAAUACUUAUAGCAGAGGCUACCAUACUGCCCCAUGGAGUUGAUUUGUCUCUCUUCUCCAUUCUCAUAAGUCCGUGGGAAAGCAGGAACUGGUUGGGCAGAUUACUUCUUUUAUCCCUCUGAUGUAUAUGUGUGUUUGCACAUAUUAUUCCUUGUUCAAAAUUGGAAUGCUGAUGUUCUACGCCUUGACACCAAGACAAACAAGCUCAGUCAGCUUGCUUAUGAUAUGCUCGAUGGUUGCACGAUAUGCUCCACCAAUUUCAUACAACUUUCUCAAUCUUAUUUAUCCCCCUGAUAAAAGGAAAACCGUCUUUGAGAAUGUCUGUAAUCUUUCUAUACUAUUGUUCUUUUCUUGUAAACAUCAAGCCAUUUGAAGAUGGUAAUGUUUCAAUAUCAUGCACCAGUUCUGCAAAAUUACUUGGUAGUUAUUGUCCCUGCAACUGGGAUUUAUAUCGUAGGCAUGUGAUAAUGGGGCAUUGCGUUGAUUUUUUAUUGCCUUUUGCCCACUGAUGUUAUGUUCCCCAUUUAGAGAAAAACUUGAAGUUGAUAGAAAGGUGCCACUCUUGGAGUAAUGUUGUAA
Molecule: long non-coding RNA, 854 nt
Organism: Hibiscus syriacus
Lineage: Eukaryota; Viridiplantae; Streptophyta; Magnoliopsida; Malvales; Malvaceae
Exons: 4
Source: RefSeq, a predicted model, not a curated record